UUAAAUCCCAUCUUAAUCGCAACAAUGUCAAGAUUGAACUUACAAGAGUUGUGAUAUCUACGUAUCCGACUAGUUGAUAUAUGGUCAGUAUAAUAUAAUAUUGGUGAACAUAGCCUUAACGAAGGAGACGGUUGUUACUCGGUUCGUCCAACGGACUAGUAUGCAUCUCGCUCCAACUUCCAUAAACUAGAUCUUUAUGGUGUGGUUUGGUUAUGAUUCAAUAGAAAAAGAACUAUAAGAUUGUUUUAGCGGAUUAGGAAAAGUACAUUAAAGAAUCAUAACCAAAGCCAAUACAAAGAGUCUGUUUCUAGAACUAGGGGAUUCAGCACUUUCUUAAAUUCUGUAGUCAAAGGAUUGACGAUUACAACUUCAUCAAAGUGUGGGAAGAUGCAUACCAUACCAUUGUACGAACCGACUAGACAACUAUCACCAAGUUAAAAACAUGGUCAUGUACAUUAUACUAACAAUACAUAAAGUAGCCAUGAUAUGUAGUUAUAAUAAAUAUGGUUAAGAUAAGAUUUAAUGGCAAGCCACCCAGAAGCUAAAUAUGGUUAAGAUGAGACACUUACACAUACACUUCCAUCUAAAAAAACCCGCACCUCCAAUCCUUUUAGUAUAUCUCUCCAUAGUCACAGAUCAAAGAUGUGUAGAUACCCUAUGUUUAGAGAAUCAGUUGUAAAUAAGAAAAUAUAGUGUGUCUGAUCUAUUGACAUUUUUCGUUUGAUGUUAGGUUUAUAUAACUUUUUGCAGCCUAUGUAACAA
This 762-nucleotide long non-coding RNA is filed under the name Helianthus annuus (common sunflower). RNAcentral's name for it is "hypothetical non coding rna". Lineage: Eukaryota; Viridiplantae; Streptophyta; Magnoliopsida; Asterales; Asteraceae. The record is from RNAcentral.